UCCGAAGGGGGCUAGCGUUGCUCGGAAUCACUGGGCGUAAAGCGCACGUAGGCGGAUUGUUAAGUCAGGGGUGAAAUCCUGGAGCUCAACUCCAGAACUGCCUUUGAUACUGGCGAUCUCGAGUCCGGGAGAGGUGAGUGGAACUGCGAGUGUAGAGGUGAAAUUCGUAGAUAUUCGCAAGAACACCAGUGGCGAAGGCGGCUCACUGGCCCGGUACUGACGCUGAGGUGCGAAAGCGUGGGGAGCAAACAGG
This 253-nucleotide ribosomal RNA is filed under the name uncultured bacterium. RNAcentral's name for it is "partial 16S ribosomal RNA". It matches the Rfam family "Bacterial small subunit ribosomal RNA", at positions 524 to 776 of the family's 1533-position model. The record is from RNAcentral.